This 497-nucleotide ribosomal RNA is filed under the name uncultured bacterium. RNAcentral describes it as "partial 16S ribosomal RNA". It matches the Rfam family "Bacterial small subunit ribosomal RNA", at positions 28 to 507 of the family's 1533-position model. The record is from RNAcentral.
GACGAACGCUGGCGGCGUGCCUAAUACAUGCAAGUCGAGCGAACAGACGAGGAGCUUGCUCCUUUGACGUUAGCGGCGGACGGGUGAGUAACACGUGGGUAACCUACCUAUAAGACUGGGAUAACUUCGGGAAACCGGAGCUAAUACCGGAUAAUAUUUCGAACCGCAUGGUUCGAUAGUGAAAGAUGGCUCUGCUAUCACUUAUAGAUGGACCUGCGCCGUAUUAGCUAGUUGGUAAGGUAACGGCUUACCAAGGCAACGAUACGUAGCCGACCUGAGAGGGUGAUCGGCCACACUGGAACUGAGACACGGUCCAGACUCCUACGGGAGGCAGCAGUAGGGAAUCUUCCGCAAUGGGCGAAAGCCUGACGGAGCAACGCCGCGUGAGUGAUGAAGGUCUUCGGAUCGUAAAACUCUGUUAUUAGGGAAGAACAAACGUGUAAGUAACUGUGCACGUCUUGACGGUACCUAAUCAGAAAGCCACGGCUAACUACGUG